GUAAUACGGAGGGGGUUAGCGUUGUUCGGAAUUACUGGGCGUAAAGCGCACGUAGGCGGACUGGAAAGUUGGGGGUGAAAUCCCAGGGCUCAACCCUGGAACUGCCUCCAAAACUAUCAGUCUAGAGUUCGAGAGAGGUGAGUGGAAUUCCGAGUGUAGAGGUGAAAUUCGUAGAUAUUCGGAGGAACACCAGUGGCGAAGGCGGCUCACUGGCUCGAUACUGACGCUGAGGUGCGAAAGUGUGGGGAGCAAACAGGAUUAGAUACCCUGGUAGUCCACACCGUAAACGAUGAAUGCCAGUCGUCGGGUAGCAUGCUAUUCGGUGACACACCUAACGGAUUAAGCAUUCCGCCUGGGGAGUACGGUCGCAAGAUUAAAACUCAAAGGAAUUG
RNAcentral lists this ribosomal RNA (392 nucleotides) under uncultured Ruegeria sp. RNAcentral describes it as "bacterial SSU rRNA". It matches the Rfam family "Bacterial small subunit ribosomal RNA", at positions 520 to 912 of the family's 1533-position model. Lineage: Bacteria; Pseudomonadati; Pseudomonadota; Alphaproteobacteria; Rhodobacterales; Roseobacteraceae. The record is from RNAcentral.